Mus musculus (house mouse) is the source of this 284-nucleotide non-coding RNA. NCBI's taxonomy places the organism in Eukaryota, Metazoa, Chordata, Mammalia, Rodentia, Muridae. The record is from the annotation of a RefSeq genome assembly.
GAAAUAUGGAAUCUGGAGUCACACAAACAUUCAGUUAUGAUGUUACAGACAUGGGACAGAAUGUCAUUUAGAGAUAUAACACAAUUUCUGGUCAUUUUGUCACAUUUUCAUACCAACAGACACUAGGAAAAGGUGUGGAGUUUCUGGCUUCAUUCUAUGAUACAGUUCAUUUGGAAAGGGCUGACGUUUUCAGUACUCAACAGAGAUGCCUGAUGGAUUGUUCUCCACUCUGAAGAUUCAGCAUGUUCAGCCAGAGACUCCACUAUGUAUGCCAGCAGCUUGGC